Molecule: ribosomal RNA, 253 nt
Filed under: uncultured bacterium
Lineage: Bacteria
Description: partial 16S ribosomal RNA
Rfam family: Bacterial small subunit ribosomal RNA
Source: RNAcentral
UACAGAGGUCUCAAGCGUUGUUCGGAUUCAUUGGGCGUAAAGGGUGUGUAGGCGGCGCCGUUAGUCGGGUGUGAAAUUUCGGAGCUUAACUCCGAAACUGCAUUCGAUACUGCGGUGCUUGAGGACUGGAGAGGAGACUGGAAUUCAUGGUGUAGCAGUGAAAUGCGUAGAGAUCAUGAGGAAGACCAGUGGCGAAGGCGGGUCUCUGGACAGUUCCUGACACUGAGACACGAAGGCCAGGGGAGCAAACGGG